GCUGGGUGUGGUGGUGCAUACUUGUAAUCCCAGCAACUUGGGAAGCUGAGGCUGGAAGAUUGCAAGUUCAAGGUCAACCUCAG
Molecule: small RNA, 83 nt
Filed under: Marmota monax (woodchuck)
Lineage: Eukaryota; Metazoa; Chordata; Mammalia; Rodentia; Sciuridae
Source: RNAcentral